RNAcentral lists this transfer RNA (42 nucleotides) under Azadinium spinosum. Its description in RNAcentral is "partial Selenocysteine transfer RNA". The record is from RNAcentral. Lineage: Eukaryota; Dinophyceae; Gonyaulacales; Amphidomataceae.
UGGCCCUGGUCAGGUGGAGGUCUUCAAAACCGGCGGCGGUCU